UACGUAGGUGGCAAGCGUUAUCCGGAUUUAUUGGGCGUAAAGGGAACGCAGGCGGUCUUUUAAGUCUGAUGUGAAAGCCUUCGGCUUAACCGGAGUAGUGCAUUGGAAACUGGGAGACUUGAGUGCAGAAGAGGAGAGUGGAACUCCAUGUGUAGCGGUGAAAUGCGUAGAUAUAUGGAAGAACACCAGUGGCGAAAGCGGCUCUCUGGUCUGUAACUGACGCUGAGGUUCGAAAGCUUGGGUAGCAAACAGG
RNAcentral lists this ribosomal RNA (253 nucleotides) under uncultured bacterium. RNAcentral describes it as "partial 16S ribosomal RNA". It matches the Rfam family "Bacterial small subunit ribosomal RNA", at positions 524 to 776 of the family's 1533-position model. The record is from RNAcentral.